AGUGUCAUAUGCUUGUCUCAAAGCUUAAGCCAUGCAAGUCUCAGUACAGACUAUAUUAAAGUGAAACCGCAAAAGGCUCAGUAAACCAGUUUUAAUUUACUAGAGUUAACUUGACUGUGCUUGGAUAACUGUGGUAAUUCUAGAGCUAAUACAUGCAACAAAGCCGUGACCAUUCGUGGUCAGGGCGCUUUUAUUAGACCAAGACCAAUCGCCCGGCCAGUCCGGGCGUUAAGUUGAGGAACCUAGAUAACACAGCAGAUCGCAUGGUCUUUGUACCGGCGACCUAUCUUUCAAAUGCCUGACUUAUCAACUGACGAUGGUAGACUCUGUGUCUACCAUGGCUGUUACGGGUAACGGGGAAUCAGGGUUCGAUUCCGGAGAGGGAGCCUGAGAAACGGCUACCACAUCCAAGGAAGGCAGCAGGCACGCAAAUUACCCACUCCCGGAACGGGGAGGUAGUGACAAAAAAUAACGAUACGGGACUCGAUAUGAGGCCUCGUAAUCGGAAUGAGUACACUCUAAAUCCUUUAACAAAAAUCUAUUGGAGGGCAAGUCUGGUGCCAGCAGCCGCGGUAAUUCCAGCUCCAAUAGCGUAUAUUAAAGUUGUUGCGGUUAAAAAGCUCGUAGUUGGUUCUGCGUCCCGCGCUGUCGGUACACCGUUUGUCGGUGACACUGGCAUGACGCGGGAUGUCCUGUCGGUGGCGGCGGAGACCAUAUCGCCGUCGGCUAACACCGCGGCGUGUUGGCCUUCUGUCGCCGGCUUUAUCCUACCGCGGUGCUCUUCACUGAGUGUCGAGGUAGGCCGACACGUUUACUUUGAACAAAUUAGAGUGCUUAAAGCAGGCAAAAAUCUCUGCCAGAAUAGUGGUGCAUGGAAUAAUGGAACAGGACCUUGGUUCUAUUCUGUUGGUCUCCGGAACACAAGGUAAUGAUCAAUGUGGACAGGCGGGGGCAUUCGUAUUGCGGCGUUAGAGGUGAAAUUCUUGGAUCGUCGCAAGACGCACUAGAGCGAAAGCAAUUGCCAAGUAUGUCUUAAUUGAUCAAGAACGAAAGUUAGAGGUUCGAAGGCGAUCA
RNAcentral lists this ribosomal RNA (1074 nucleotides) under Cimex sp. RNAcentral describes it as "SSU rRNA". It matches the Rfam family "Eukaryotic small subunit ribosomal RNA", at positions 19 to 1010 of the family's 1831-position model. The record is from RNAcentral. Lineage: Eukaryota; Metazoa; Arthropoda; Insecta; Hemiptera; Cimicidae.